AUUGCUUCUUGGCCUUUUGGCUAAGAUUAUGUGUAGUAUCUGUUCUCAUCAGUUCACUAAACUUUGAAAAAAUAAAUAAAUGAAUGAAUCUUGGCAAAAUCAGGAAAUUUGUUUUAAACUAUGCUUUGCUAAUCAUCUUCUUCCUCUGGGCAACCUCU
RNAcentral lists this small nuclear RNA (158 nucleotides) under Suricata suricatta (meerkat). RNAcentral describes it as "U2 spliceosomal RNA (ENSSSUG00005018500.1)". It matches the Rfam family "U2 spliceosomal RNA". From Rfam's summary of the family: U2 is a small nuclear RNA (snRNA) component of the spliceosome (involved in pre-mRNA splicing). Complementary binding between U2 snRNA (in an area lying towards the 5' end but 3' to hairpin I) and the branchpoint sequence (BPS) of the intron results the bulging out of an unpaired adenosine, on the BPS, which initiates a nucleophilic attack at the intronic 5' splice site, thus starting the first of two transesterification reactions that mediate splicing. The record is from RNAcentral. Lineage: Eukaryota; Metazoa; Chordata; Mammalia; Carnivora; Herpestidae.